GACGAACGCUGGCGGCGUGCUUAACACAUGCAAGUCGAACGGGAUUUAGUAGACAGAAGCCUCGGCUAAAGAUUACUAAUGAGAGUGGCGAACGGGUGAGUAACGCGUUAGCAACCUGCCUAUGACAGUGGGAUAGCCUCGGGAAACCGGGAUUAAUACCGCAUAAAAUCGUAGAAACACAUGUUUCAACGGUCAAAGAUUUAUCGGUCAUAGAUGGGCUCGCGUCUGAUUAGCUAGUUGGUGAGAUAACAGCCCACCAAGGCGACGAUCAGUAGCCGGUCUGAGAGGAUGAGCGGCCACACUGGAACUGAGACACGGUACAAACUCCUACGGGAGGCAGCAGUGGGGAAUAUUGCACAAUGGGGGAAACCCUGAUGCAGCGACGCCGCGUGAACGAAGAAGGUAUUCGUAUCGUAAAGUUCUGUCCUAUGGGAAGAUAAUGACAGUACCAUAGAAGAAAGCUCCGGCUAACUACGUG
This 478-nucleotide ribosomal RNA is filed under the name uncultured bacterium. RNAcentral describes it as "partial 16S ribosomal RNA". It matches the Rfam family "Bacterial small subunit ribosomal RNA", at positions 28 to 507 of the family's 1533-position model. The record is from RNAcentral.